CCUACGGGUGGCAGCAGUAGGGAAUUUUGCGCAAUGGGCGAAAGCCUGACGCAGCAACACCGCGUGAAUGUUAAGCCCUUCGGGGUGUAAAGUUCUGUCAAUAGGGACGAAUUUUGACUGUACCUAUAAAGGAAGCACCGGCUAACUCCGUGCCAGCAGCCGCGGUAAUACGGGGGGUGCAAGCGUUGUCCGGAAUCAUUGGGCGUAAAGCGUUCGUAGGCGGCAAGGUAAGUCUGAUGUUAAAGCCCGGGGCUCAACUCCGGUUCGGCAUUGGAUACUAUCUAGCUAGAAUGUGGUAGAGGUAAAGGGAAUUCCUGGUGUAGCGGUGAAAUGCGUAGAUAUCAGGAGGAACAUCGGUGGCGAAAGCAGCAUGCCGGCUCCACACUGACGCUGAGGCACGAAAGCGUGGGUAUCGAACAGGAUUAGAUACCCCAGUAGUC
RNAcentral lists this ribosomal RNA (440 nucleotides) under uncultured bacterium. RNAcentral describes it as "partial 16S ribosomal RNA". It matches the Rfam family "Bacterial small subunit ribosomal RNA", at positions 338 to 795 of the family's 1533-position model. The record is from RNAcentral.